UGGGGAAUAUUGGACAAUGGGCGAAAGCCUGAUCCAGCCAUGCCGCGUGUGUGAAGAAGGUCUUCGGAUUGUAAAGCACUUUAAGUUGGGAGGAAGGGCAUUAACCUAAUACGUUAGUGUUUUGACGUUACCGACAGAAUAAGCACCGGCUAACUCUGUGCCAGCAGCCGCGGUAAUACAGAGGGUGCAAGCGUUAAUCGGAAUUACUGGGCGUAAAGCGCGCGUAGGUGGGUCGUUAAGUUUGAUGUGAAAUCCCCGGGCUCAACCUGGGAACUGCAUUCAAAACUGACUGACUAGAGUAUGGUAGAGGGUGGUGGAAUUUCCUGUGUAGCGGUGAAAUGCGUAGAUAUAGGAAGGAACACCAGUGGCGAAGGCGACCACCUGGACUAAUACUGACACUGAGGUGCGAAAGCGUGGGGAGCAAACA
Molecule: ribosomal RNA, 427 nt
Filed under: uncultured bacterium
Lineage: Bacteria
Description: partial 16S ribosomal RNA
Rfam family: Bacterial small subunit ribosomal RNA
Source: RNAcentral